RNAcentral lists this ribosomal RNA (349 nucleotides) under uncultured bacterium. Its description in RNAcentral is "partial 16S ribosomal RNA". It matches the Rfam family "Bacterial small subunit ribosomal RNA", at positions 338 to 704 of the family's 1533-position model. The record is from RNAcentral.
CCUACGGGAGGCAGCAGUGGGGGAUAUUGCACAAUGGGGGGAACCCUGAUGCAGCGAAGCCGCGUGGGGGAAGAAGGGCCUCGGCGAGGAAAGCCCUGUCAGCAGGGAAGAAAAGGACGGUACCGGAAGAAGAAGCCACGGAGAACUACGUGCCAGCAGGAGCGGUAAUACGGAGGGGGCAAGCGUUAUCCGGAGUUACUGGGUGUAAAGGGGGCGCAGCCGGCGCUGCAAGCCAGGAGGGACAGCCCGGGGCCCACCCCCGGUCCUGCUCUUGGAACUGCGGGGCGUGAGUGCAGGCGGGGCAGGCGGAAUUCCUGGUGUAGCGGUGACAUGCGUAGAUAUCAGGAGG